CCGCACAAGCAGCGGAGCAUGUGGUUUAAUUCGAAGCAACGCGAAGAACCUUACCAAAUCUUGACAUAUCAAAGCUAUCUGAGUAAAAUUAGAGUUCCAUUUGGACUUUGAAUACAGGUGGUGCAUGGUUGUCGUCAGCUCGUGUCGUGAGAUGUUGGGUUAAGUCCCGUAACGAGCGCAACCCUUAUUUCUAGUUGCUAACAGGUAAUGCUGAGGACUUUAGAGAGACUGCCGAUGAAAAAAUCGGAGGAAGGUGGGGAUGACGUCAAAUCAUCAUGCCCCUUAUGAUUUGGGCUACACACGUGCUACAAUGGCCGGUACAACGGGUAUGCGAAAGGGUGACCUGGAGCUAAUCCUAACAAGCCGGUCCCAGUUCGGAUUGCAGAUUGAAACUCAUCUGUAUGAAGUUGGAGUUGCUAGUAAUCGCGGAUCAGAAUGUGCGCGGUG
Molecule: ribosomal RNA, 447 nt
Filed under: uncultured bacterium
Lineage: Bacteria
Description: bacterial SSU rRNA
Rfam family: Bacterial small subunit ribosomal RNA
Source: RNAcentral